CAAUAGCGUAUAUUAAAGUUGUUGCAGUUAAAAAGCUCGUAGUUGGAUUUCUGGAGGGAGCGUCGGCCCGUAUUUACGAGUGCGUGACGUCUCUGUCCAUCCUUGCGGGAAGGCACGGCAUUGAUUUGUUGUGUCGGAUCGCAUCAUUUACCGUGAAAAAAUUAGAGUGUUCAAAGCAGGCUUUCGCUUGAAUACAUUAGCAUGGAAUAAUAAGAUAGGACUUUGGUGCUAUUUUGUUGGUUGAGCCUAAAGUAAUGAUUAAUAGGGAUAGUUGGGGGCACCUGUAUUGCGUUGUCAGAGGUGAAAUUCUUGGAUUUACGCAAGACAAACAGCUGCGAAAGCGUCUGCCAAGGAUGUUUUCAUUAA
This 366-nucleotide ribosomal RNA is filed under the name uncultured eukaryote. RNAcentral describes it as "partial 18S ribosomal RNA". It matches the Rfam family "Eukaryotic small subunit ribosomal RNA", at positions 592 to 976 of the family's 1831-position model. The record is from RNAcentral.